Molecule: ribosomal RNA, 468 nt
Filed under: uncultured bacterium
Lineage: Bacteria
Description: partial 16S ribosomal RNA
Rfam family: Bacterial small subunit ribosomal RNA
Source: RNAcentral
GACGAACGCUGGCGGCGUGCUUAACACAUGCAAGUCGAACGGAAAGGCCCUGCUUUUGUGGGGUGCUCGAGUGGCGAACGGGUGAGUAACACGUGAGUAACCUGCCCUUGACUUUGGGAUAACUUCAGGAAACUGGGGCUAAUACCGGAUAGGAGCUCCUGCUGCAUGGUGGGGGUUGGAAAGUUUCGGCGGUUGGGGAUGGACUCGCGGCUUAUCAGCUUGUUGGUGGGGUAGUGGCUUACCAAGGCUUUGACGGGUAGCCGGCCUGAGAGGGUGACCGGCCACAUUGGGACUGAGAUACGGCCCAGACUCCUACGGGAGGCAGCAGUAGGGAAUAUUGCACGAUGGGCGGAAGCCUGAUGCAGCAACGCCGCGUGCGGGAUGACGGCCUUCGGGUUGUAAACCGCUUUCGCCUGUGACGAAGCGUGAGUGACGGUAAUGGGUAAAGAAGCACCGGCUAACUACGUG